This 470-nucleotide ribosomal RNA is filed under the name Flavobacterium sp. DB3.4-10. RNAcentral describes it as "bacterial SSU rRNA". It matches the Rfam family "Bacterial small subunit ribosomal RNA", at positions 13 to 487 of the family's 1533-position model. Lineage: Bacteria; Pseudomonadati; Bacteroidota; Flavobacteriia; Flavobacteriales; Flavobacteriaceae. The record is from RNAcentral.
UUGAUCCUGGCUCAGGAUGAACGCUAGCGGCAGGCUUAACACAUGCAAGUCGAGGGGUAUAAGUCUUCGGAUUUAGAGACCGGCGCACGGGUGCGUAACGCGUAUGCAAUCUACCUUUCACAGAGGGAUAGCCCAGAGAAAUUUGGAUUAAUACCUCAUAGUAUAAUGAGAUGGCAUCAUCAUAUUAUUAAAGUCACAACGGUGAAAGAUGAGCAUGCGUCCCAUUAGCUAGUUGGUAAGGUAACGGCUUACCAAGGCUACGAUGGGUAGGGGUCCUGAGAGGGAGAUCCCCCACACUGGUACUGAGACACGGACCAGACUCCUACGGGAGGCAGCAGUGAGGAAUAUUGGACAAUGGGCGCAAGCCUGAUCCAGCCAUGCCGCGUGCAGGAUGACGGUCCUAUGGAUUGUAAACUGCUUUUGCACAGGAAGAAACACUGAUUCGUGAAUCAGCUUGACGGUAUCCUAAG